This 89-nucleotide transfer RNA is filed under the name Armatimonadetes bacterium RBG_19FT_COMBO_69_19. RNAcentral describes it as "tRNA-Leu". It matches the Rfam family "tRNA". From Rfam's summary of the family: Transfer RNA (tRNA) molecules are approximately 80 nucleotides in length. Their secondary structure includes four short double-helical elements and three loops (D, anti-codon, and T loops). Lineage: Bacteria; Bacillati; Armatimonadota. The record is from RNAcentral.
GCCCAGGUGGCGUAACGGGCAGCCGCGAGGGUCCUAAACACCCUUGGCCCGCAAGGGCCGUGUGGGUUCGACUCCCACCCUGGGCACCA